Non-coding RNA from Cinara cedri, 281 nucleotides. NCBI's taxonomy places the organism in Eukaryota, Metazoa, Arthropoda, Insecta, Hemiptera, Aphididae. The record is from the annotation of a GenBank genome assembly.
UUUAAAUCGGUGGCGUAUAACUAUAGGGAUUUAAGCGUUCCGACAUGAGUUUGGCGCCCCGUAUAACCCGGUACGAAGUCGAGCUUUUUCGUACGUUGUAUCAUGUUUUAUUUAUUCCGAACACUUCUCGCGGUCAUGAUAUUUUAUUACGAUAUACCUAUUGAAAACGAUAAAAAUGUAAACUGUUAUAAUUUUGACGUUCCGGGGAGAUUGUUUCCUCUACACAAACGCGAUUAGACCAGUAGACCACCGAUUUCGAGAGCGUUAAAAUUAUAGACACA